AUUGAACGCUGGCGGCAUGCCUUACACAUGCAAGUCGAACGGCAGCACGGGAGCAAUCCUGGUGGCGAGUGGCGAACGGGUGAGUAAUAUAUCGGAACGUGCCCAGUCGUGGGGGAUAACGCAGCGAAAGCUGUGCUAAUACCGCAUACGAUCUCUGGAUGAAAGCGGGGGACUCGCAAGGGCCUCGCGCGAUUGGAGCGGCCGAUAUCAGAUUAGCUAGUUGGUGGGGUAAAAGCCCACCAAGGCGACGAUCUGUAGCUGGUCUGAGAGGACGACCAGCCACACUGGAACUGAGACACGGUCCAGACUCCUACGGGAGGCAGCAGUGGGGAAUUUUGGACAAUGGGCGCAAGCCUGAUCCAGCAAUGCCGCGUGCAGGAUGAAGGCCUUCGGGUUGUAAACUGCUUUUGUACGGAACGAAACGGUCGCCUCUAAUAAAGGCGGCUAAUGACGGUACCGUAAGAAUAAGCACCGG
This 475-nucleotide ribosomal RNA is filed under the name uncultured bacterium. Its description in RNAcentral is "bacterial SSU rRNA". It matches the Rfam family "Bacterial small subunit ribosomal RNA", at positions 30 to 496 of the family's 1533-position model. The record is from RNAcentral.